RNAcentral lists this ribosomal RNA (562 nucleotides) under uncultured bacterium. RNAcentral describes it as "bacterial SSU rRNA". It matches the Rfam family "Bacterial small subunit ribosomal RNA", at positions 120 to 674 of the family's 1533-position model. The record is from RNAcentral.
GGGAAUCUACCUUUUGCUACGGAAUAACUCAGGGAAACUUGUGCUAAUACCGCAUGUGCCCCCCUUUAAAAUUUCAGGAUACAUAAAAUGCCCUGGCAUUUUAUGGGGGGGAAAGAUUUAUCGGCAAAGGAUGAGCCCGCGUUGGAUUAGCUAGUUGGUGGGGUAAAGGCCCACCAAGGCGACGAUCCAUAGCUGGUCUGAGAGGAUGAUCAGCCACACUGGGACUGAGACACGGCCCAGACUCCUACGGGAGGCAGCAGUGGGGAAUAUUGGACAAUGGGCGCAAGCCUGAUCCAGCCAUGCCGCGUGAGUGAUGAAGGCCCUAGGGUUGUAAAGCUCUUUCACCGGUGAAGAUAAUGACGGUAACCGGAGAAGAAGCCCCGGCUAACUUCGUGCCAGCAGCCGCGGUAAUACGAAGGGGGCUAGCGUUGUUCGGAUUUACUGGGCGUAAAGCGCACGUAGGCGGACUUUUAAGUCAGGGGUGAAAUCCCAGAGCUCAACUCUGGAACUGCCUUUGAUACUGGAAGUCUUGAGUAUGGUAGAGGUGAGUGGAAUUCCGAGU